RNAcentral lists this ribosomal RNA (936 nucleotides) under Pseudomonas lundensis. Its description in RNAcentral is "bacterial SSU rRNA". It matches the Rfam family "Bacterial small subunit ribosomal RNA", at positions 20 to 951 of the family's 1533-position model. The record is from RNAcentral. Lineage: Bacteria; Pseudomonadati; Pseudomonadota; Gammaproteobacteria; Pseudomonadales; Pseudomonadaceae.
UGGCUCAGAUUGAACGCUGGCGGCAGGCCUAACACAUGCAAGUCGAGCGGUAGAGAGGUGCUUGCACCUCUUGAGAGCGGCGGACGGGUGAGUAAUACCUAGGAAUCUGCCUGNNNGUGGGGGAUNNCGUUCGGAAACGGACGCUAAUACCGCAUNCGUCCUACGGGAGAANGCAGGGGACCUUCGGGCCUUGCGCUAUCAGAUGAGCCUAGGUCGGAUUAGCUAGUNGGUGAGGUAAUGGCUCACCAAGGCAACGAUCCGUAACUGGUCUGAGAGGAUGAUCAGUCACACUGGAACUGAGACACGGUCCAGACUCCUACGGGAGGCAGCAGUGGGGAAUAUUGGACAAUGGGCGAAAGCCUGAUCCAGCCAUGCCGCGUGUGUGAAGAAGGUCUUCGGAUUGUAAAGCACUUUAAGUUGGGAGGAAGGGCAUUAACCUAAUACGUUAGUGUUUUGACGUUACCGACAGAAUAAGCACCGGCUAACUCUGUGCCAGCAGCCGCGGUAAUACAGAGGGUGCAAGCGUUAAUCGGAAUUACUGGGCGUAAAGCGCGCGUAGGUGGUUUGUUAAGUUGAAUGUGAAAUCCCCGGGCUCAACCUGGGAACUGCAUCCAAAACUGGCAAGCUAGAGUAUGGUAGAGGGUAGUGGAAUUUCCUGUGUAGCGGUGAAAUGCGUAGAUAUAGGAAGGAACACCAGUGGCGAAGGCGACUACCUGGACUGAUACUGACACUGAGGUGCGAAAGCGUGGGGAGCAAACAGGAUUAGAUACCCUGGUAGUCCACGCCGUAAACGAUGUCAACUAGCCGUUGGGAACCUUGAGUUCUUAGUGGCGCANNUAACGCAUUAAGUUGACCGCCUGGGGAGUACGGCCGCAAGGUUAAAACUCAAAUGAAUUGACGGGGGCCCGCACAAGCGGUGGAGCAUGUGGUUUAAUU